GCUAUUUGGACGUGUUGUGUGUGGCAUUGUUGUGUCUGUUUAUUGACAUUGUUGCGUUCGUAGACAUUGUUGUAUCAUUAUCGCCGUCAACAAUCCGCUUUCGUUAUUUAGGAAAGAACUGAGCUGUGAAUCGCUUGUAGAAGGAGUGCGUCGUGGACUAGAUAACUUUGUGCUGGUAGAAACGUUUCAGAAUGUGCGCAACACAGGGAGUGGGAUCUUAAAGAAAAUAUACCACCACAAAAGGCACAGCUAUAAGUGAAUAUGGGCUAUGUCGAUGCCAGACUCACAUUAGUAAACACAACAAACACGCACUCGCGAAGGCAUCCUCAUAUUUCAUCUGCUUAAUAUCAAUGAGUGGGAUAGGCGCCCGGCCUUAUCGGUCUAAUUGAAUCGACUUGGAAAGGGGGAAGCGUUUAAUCCAAUUGGACGAGUGACAGAGGUAAAGGCGGACGGAUCACUUUGUUUCUCUGAUGGGCUGCAUGUACACAAAUUAAUGUUUACAACAAUAGAUAAUCAAACAGAUCUGAAGAAUCUGUUUAGAAGAGCAUCAUCAGAGAGACUUGUGGAACAGCGAUAUCGUGGACAGUGCAUGUGAAAUGGCUUGCGAUUUCAGUUGCUUGUUCAACCGUGGAUGUUGAUCAGUGAACAAGUCUUUUAAUUGGGAUAGUCGUUGGUUCGGAGCGGAGCUAAGUCCGGCUCAAGGAGAAUUAGAGAUAUUCCGAUAGCGAGUCUGCAGUUGGGUUCAUCCCUCAACCCCGACACUAGUCGAGAGGGUACGGAUGUGUAUUUCGACUGCCUGAUACAGGCCCAGCCGCCGGUUUACAAAGUGGAAUGUUGUCACAAUACGCUCCGACGUGCAAGGCGAACCAGACGCGGGUCCACGAAGUCGCGAAGUAGGAGAAGGCCAAUCCGCCAGACGUUCAUUUCCGGUGGACGUUCAAUAACUCUGCGGAGAGCCUGGACGUGGCUUCGGCCCACAUCGCUCGGUCCGGCACCUCCAGCGUCGUGACGUACACUCCUUUGACUGAGCUCGACUAUGGAACUCUGCUGUGCUGGGCCUCCGAUCGCAUCGGCAGCCAGCGUGUGCCUUGCUUCUUUCACAUUAUCGCAGCAGGUCAGUUGCUGUUCUUAAGCAUUAUUUUAUUAUCUAGUUAACGUCAUAAAAUUAAUUUAAUUUUAAUGUUUUGCUCCUCUUAGAAGAUCGGCUUUUGAGGAGGUUCGUUUCCACUUAUGAUUAUUACCGGUCAUUAAAAUUAGCAAAUACGUUCUGUCUUAAAGAUAGGUAUGAACGAUUAUUGGAGCGAAAUGCGAAAACUUGUUUGAGUCUGCGUUUUAACUACGAACUGUGGCAGUUAACGGGUUCGCCGUGAUCUUGCGGCAACUUCUCCGACACCUUCGUACUGCAGAGCAGUCUGAACAACUGCUGGCAGGCGUUACAUUAAGAAACAAGAGCUGAACUUUCAAAAUAAGCAAACCUUUAUUUUCGGAUUAUCAUCUAUUGGUAUCUAUACAAUCAUAAUUACCCACUAUAAAGGUCAGAGGUAAAAUUUACCUUCAGGGCAAGAAAGGAAAGUUAAUACAUCGUACUAACAUCAGGUUUGAUAGAGAUAUAAUGAUUUAGACCGCAACAGUAUUAGCUGUUUAAUUAUGUAAAUUCUGCACAAAUAUGUAAACUUGCCUGUAUUGUACACGGUGAUAGUCUCCCCGCUGCUGAAU
Molecule: non-coding RNA, 1716 nt
Organism: Zootermopsis nevadensis
Lineage: Eukaryota; Metazoa; Arthropoda; Insecta; Blattodea; Termopsidae
Source: RefSeq, a predicted model, not a curated record